Long non-coding RNA from Anneissia japonica, 405 nucleotides. RefSeq lists it as uncharacterized. The transcript is spliced from 2 exons. Lineage: Eukaryota; Metazoa; Echinodermata; Crinoidea; Comatulida; Comatulidae. The record is from RefSeq and is a predicted model, not a curated record.
CUGGUUUGAACCAGCCAUCUUAAAUCCUGUAACACUACAAAUUGCAUAUUGGCAGUAUGUUUCACAAUACCAGGAGCCUGUGACCGAAGGGGGAGUUGAAAGGCGUUACAGGUAUACAGCCUAUCAGCAAUUUGUACGUUGGUGCUGUGGUUAUCUUGGCAAAGACAGGCGAGUGCUGAUGUCGUGUAAUGAAGUCCAUACAUGAGGCAUUUCCUGAACCCAGUGCCAACUACACAGAGUUUAAAUAUCUUCCCCAGACAGGUGAAUUUUAGCUUCUCCUUUGACCAGAGGCUCCUCAUGCUGUAGCUAUGUUAAUGUAUUGCCAGUAUGAAUUACUAUGUCUGUGUUAAAUUAAUUUUAUCUAUUAAAAUUGUAUAUUUUAACAAUAAUUUAUUUUUGGUUAAU